This 309-nucleotide long non-coding RNA is filed under the name Brassica napus (rape). RNAcentral describes it as "long non-coding RNA (BNAP_LNC015843)". Lineage: Eukaryota; Viridiplantae; Streptophyta; Magnoliopsida; Brassicales; Brassicaceae. The record is from RNAcentral.
CAAAAAAAAACCUCAUAAUGAAGCAUUAGAUCUUGACAGAUAUACAUAUUUUUUUGUCAAAACAGAGAUACAGUUUCAAAUUUCUUUGGUUCUUCUCUUAAUGGCUCUCGGUAAAGCAGCUAUUAAAAAUUUAGUUUGUUAUUGUAAAAGCAAUAAGUAGCACAAAGCGAAUGCUUGUAUUGUUUGCAUCUAUUAGCUGUGUAAUCUACCUCAAAUAUCUGUGAUUCAAUAUGAAGUCAUAAGUAUGAUAGCGAUCUCUUUCUUCCCCCAUGAAGUUAUAUCAUAACUGGACCACACUUUCGACAAUCG